Sapajus apella (tufted capuchin) is the source of this 2012-nucleotide RNA transcript. It is a transcript of the gene named E3 ubiquitin-protein ligase TM129-like, with no coding region annotated. The transcript has 2 exons. NCBI's taxonomy places the organism in Eukaryota, Metazoa, Chordata, Mammalia, Primates, Cebidae. The record is from RefSeq and is a predicted model, not a curated record.
AUGCCUACAGCAGUCACAGAACAGAAGCAGUACAUGGGAAAACAGCCAGACCAGGACAAGAACCAAAGACCCAGGCGGUGGCAUCCCUGCCUGAAAGGCUAUACGCUGUAUGGCAGGCUUGGAGCAAGUGCCUCUCCUCCUGAUAAAGGAGUUGUAGUACCUUGCAUCCAGUUCCUGUGGAAAGUCGGCCUCAGGCCUGAGAUCCUGGAAAUAACCGAGGGAGCAGAACCCCUCUGGUGUGACCAGUCACAGCGGCUGUAUAUCCUGGUUGGGGAUGCGGCUACCCUGGACCACCAGCUCUUGGGCGGGCAGAGGGCGACGAAGGGCGCCACUGUUAGGGAGAGCGGCUGGCGGGCCGCCUGGGAGAAGCAGCGGGCGCCACCCUCAGAGUGGUGGCGGGAAAAUCAGAUGACAAAGGUCCCCAGUGCCAACCCUGCAGUACAGGCCUUUGACAUCCGGCUGAACUGCACUGAGUAUGGGGAGCUGUGUGAGAAGCUCUGGGCACCCAUCUGCAGUGCGGCCCAUGUGGUCAUCCACCAGAACCUGGGCGACCUGUUCCUGGAGACGUUUGCCUCCCUGGUAGAGGUCAACCCCGCCUACUCAGUGCCCAGCAGCCAGGAGCUGGAGGCCUGCAUAGGCUGCAUGCAGACGCGUGUCCAACGUGAAGCUGGUGAAGACCUGCCAGGAGGCGGCGGUGGGCAAGUGCCAGCAGUGCUACUGCCGCCCCAUGUGGUGCCUCACUUGCAUGGGCAGGUGGUUUGCCAGCCGCCAGGACCCGCUGCGCCCCUGGCUGGCCAGCCGUGUGCCUUGCCCCACCUGCCGCACACGCUUCUGUAUCGUGGAUGUGUGCACCAUACGCUGAGUGGGCUGGGGCUUGAGGAUCCUGGUGACUCUGUGUUCCCCCGGCCACAGGGUGAGGAGGGGGUGGCUGGGCCUCCAAGCUGGCAAAGGGCUCUACCUAAAGCACUUGAUCUGUAGCAACUCGCCUCUGCCCUGGGUCCGCAGAAGGCUGAGGGCUUUUGGUUAAAAGCAAUCCUCAUGAACACACCCCACCCUGCUCGGCAGCCAGGGGACAAGUCCUUGGCACCUCCUCUUUGCCUCCCUCCUGUCCCUUCCUGCAGGUAGGGGCAGGUACUGCCCACACAGAACACAGCAUUUGCCCGGAGGCCAUUCCCUGGAGACCCUGGGUCUGCUCCAGUGGUCCUCACCUGGGCCACUUGCCUUAAUUUUCUGGAGCAAACCUGCCCUCAUUUACAUGCCAGACCCAGAUCAGCGUUCUCCCGCCCUGUCCUGGAGCUGCACCUGGCUGCCUGGAGAGCCCUGGGUAUGUCCCGAGGGUGGGGUGGAGAACAGGGCACGGCUCCGGUGUGGGAGCAGCCCUGGGGCUUCCUAGUGGCUUUGGCAUUGGGGGGCCAUUCCUGGGUGGCGUGCGAGGCCAGGCCAGAGUGCCCUCAUUGGUGGGACUGUCCCUCCAGGGGUUCUCACCCUGUCCUUGGUGCCUUCUGCUGCCCCCAGAAGUCCAGGGAAGGCGGAGGCCUCAGACUCCUGGGUAGGGGUGGGGGUUUGAGCUGAGGACCAAAGUGUCACAGUGACAUCCAGAACAUAAGCCCACAAGGCAUCCUGCACAGGCUGCCCACUCCCCUAGGGCCUACCGGGCUCAGAAGGGUAUGCACGCCCGCUGUGGUUGAGACUCUGGUGAGCGUCUUGCCCGGUUCCUGAUGAUUCAAGGGGAGGGGGAGGAGGAGGUGGAGGAGUUGUCCAGGCCCUAGGGCACAGCCCUGACAGGUGUGGCCACUGGAGUGGCUCUCACGCCUGCGGCCCUGGAUGUGGCUGAUUCCAGCAGAGGUGAUGGACUCAGGUGGCCUGACCCCCAGGAUUUGGGAGGCUUCCUGAGGCACUCAGAAGGUAAAGGCAGCAGGGGCCGUGGCCAGGAGCUAGACCUAGCCAUGGUCCUGAGUUUUAAGGGCUGCCAAAGAGGGUCAGUGGGUGUUGUUUUUACUACAAAAGAAGUU